Molecule: ribosomal RNA, 434 nt
Filed under: Projasus parkeri
Lineage: Eukaryota; Metazoa; Arthropoda; Malacostraca; Decapoda; Palinuridae
Description: partial 16S ribosomal RNA
Rfam family: Bacterial large subunit ribosomal RNA
Source: RNAcentral
CGGUAUAUUGACCGUGCGAAGGUAGCAUAAUGAUUUGUUCUUUAAUUGGGGACUGGUAUGAAUGGUUGAACGAAAGGCAGACUGUCUCUUAUACAUAUGUUGAAUUUAACAUUUGAGUGAAAAGGCUCAAAUAGUUCAGGGGGACGAUAAGACCCUAUAAAUCUUUAUUCUAUUAGUAAAUAACAUUGAAAAUUAUGAUUUAUAAUUCUAUGUUAUUUAACUUUGGUAUUUGGUUGGGGCGACAGGAGUAUAAACAAAUAACUGCUCUAGAUAUAUUAGUUAAUUAUAAUUAAACCUGUUAAUAAGUGAUCCUUUAUUAUGGAUUAUAGAUUAAGUUACUUUAGGGAUAACAGCGUAAUCUCGCCUGAGAGUUCAUAUCGAAGGCGGGGCUUGCGACCUCGAUGUUGAAUUAAAGGUCCGCUACGGUGCAGGAG